AGUGAACGCUGGCGGUAGGCCUAACACAUGCAAGUCGAACGGCAGCACAGUAAGAGCUUGCUCUUACGGGUGGCGAGUGGCGGACGGGUGAGGAAUACAUCGGAAUCUACUUUUUCGUGGGGGAUAACGUAGGGAAACUUACGCUAAUACCGCAUACGACCUACGGGUGAAAGCAGGGGAUCUUCGGACCUUGCGCGAUUGAAUGAGCCGAUGUCGGAUUAGCUAGUUGGCGGGGUAAAGGCCCGCCAAGGCGACGAUCCGUAGCUGGUCUGAGAGGAUGAUCAGCCACACUGGAACUGAGACACGGUCCAGACUCCUACGGAAGGCAGCAGUGGGGAAUAUUGGACAAUGGGCGCAAGCCUGAUCCAGCCAUACCGCGUGGGUGAAGAAGGCCUUCGGGUUGUAAAGCCCUUUUGUUGGGAAAGAAAAGCAGCAGGUUAAUACCCCGCUGUUCUGACGGUACCCAAAGAAUAAGCACCGGCUAACUUCGUG
RNAcentral lists this ribosomal RNA (492 nucleotides) under uncultured bacterium. RNAcentral describes it as "partial 16S ribosomal RNA". It matches the Rfam family "Bacterial small subunit ribosomal RNA", at positions 29 to 507 of the family's 1533-position model. The record is from RNAcentral.